This is an RNA transcript of Calidris pugnax (ruff), 3042 nucleotides long. It is a transcript of the gene named OTU domain containing 6B, with no coding region annotated. The record is from RefSeq and is a predicted model, not a curated record. The transcript has 8 exons. Lineage: Eukaryota; Metazoa; Chordata; Aves; Charadriiformes; Scolopacidae.
GCUCCCUCAUGGAGGGCUCCGGGGAAGAUGAGGCGGGUGCCGACGGGCCGCUGCAGCAGCUGGUGAAGCGGCAGCGCAAGGAGAAGCGGGAGCUGCAAGCAAAAAUUCAAGGCAUGAAAAAUGCUGUUCCCAAGAAUGAUAAGAAGAGACGAAAACAGCUGGCUGAUGAAGUUGCCAAACUAGAGGCAGAACUUGAACAGAAGCACAAGGAAGAAUUAAAGGAGUUGAAGGAAGCUUUACCUGAGCAGACUAAGACAGAUUCGAUAGCUGAUGGGGUUGCAAAUUUAGAGCUUGAAGGAGCAGAGCAACAAAUUCAGCCUCCUCGAAUAUCAAAAGCACAGAAGAGGAGGGAAAAAAAAGCUGCCUUGGAGAAAGAAAGAGAAGAAAGGAUAGCUGAAGCUGAGAUAGAAAAUUUAACGGGUGCUAGACAUCUUGAAAGUCAGAAACUUGCCUCCCUGUUGGCAGCAAGGCACCUGGAGAUUAAACAGAUCCCUUCGGAUGGCCAUUGCAUGUACAGAGCUAUCGAGGAUCAGCUCAAGGAUUGCCAGAAUUCCUGGACUGUUGCAACUCUGAGGAACCAAACAGCAAAGUAUAUGCAAAGUCACUUUGAUGACUUCCUGCCGUUUCUUACAAACCCUAAUACUGGAGACAUGUAUAGCAGAGAGGAAUUUGAGAAAUACUGUGAUGAUAUAGCAAAUACAGCUGCAUGGGGUGGUCAGCUGGAACUAAGGGCUUUGUCGCACAUUUUGCAAACACCUAUUGAAGUUGUGCAAAUGGAUUCCCCUCCCAUUGUUGUUGGUGAAGAAUAUUCAGGCAAACCAAUAAUACUUGUGUAUAUGAGACAUGCCUAUGGAUUAGGAGAACAUUACAAUUCUGUACAAAUUCUGACAGAUGCUGCUACAGAAAAUGGCAGCUAGCAUACAACAUUCAGAAAUCCACACGGAUAACAGUUGCUUCUUGAUAUGUUGGGCUACAGACAAUUCCUAGACAGACUGGAAAGUAAAACUACAUGGAACGGAUUAAAAAUGAAAAGAAGAGAUACAAAAUUUGACUAGAAAUCAGAAAUAGCUCUUGAUUUCAAACAAAACCAAACCAAAACCACACAACAGUAUUUUGAACUUGUAGGUAUUAAUCAUGUUUAGACGAUCUUCUCUGAAAUGGCAGCUGUGUAGAUCAGAAGUAUUUUUUUUUUUAAUAGAGCAUCAUCCCAUGCUGCAGUGAAAAUACAGAGUAGUAAAUGUUUGGGUUAAUCUGCAUUUCUGCUGAAGAAUUAAGUUCACCUGAAGGUUCCUGUUACGUUAUUUCUGGCAGAUCUUGAUGAUCGUGGAAGAGUUAAGGCAUUUAAAAUAAUUGAUUUUAUUUUGAUUGAUGGAACGUCCUCUACAGUGUUUCUUUAGUUUUAUCAAGAUCUAGCUUUAAUGCUGUAGUAGGGAUCCCCGUCUUUAUUUGGGCAGAGAAGAGCUGGAGGCAAAUCCAGUGUUUGAAUAUCUUGCUUGGCUGAAGGAAUUGCACAAACUUUAUUUUAAAGACUUUCAUCUAAGAUUUUUACCAAAGUUUGAGGACUUAGCUUUUUUUUUUGGGGGGGGGGGGUCGACAGUAGGAACUGAAUGCUUGCUGCUGAUCCUAGUAAUGAAUCUGUGAGAAGACCAUUGUUGGGUUUGACUAUACAUCAGAACACUGAUGCAAGUUAACUCUGCUGUUCAUCCCCCGUAGCCUUUCAUCUGUGCGUUUCUAUGAUACAGAAAUGUCAUCAACAAAAAGCUCCUCGGUGUCCUCACUUCAGGUGGUGAAACUCAUCUGAACUCAUCGUUUAUGGAUCUGCUGAUCUAAGCACUUUGUGAUCUAAAACGUGAUGUUUUAAAAUCCUCAAAACAGCUGGUUGCAUACAGGUUGAAAAAUAACCACCUUGGGUUUUGUCAGUAACUUUAAAGGUGAUCUGCAGAAGAAUUAAGUUUAUUUUGAUUGCUCAGAGACCUCAAAGGUGUGGUUUUUCUGGAUAUUUUUUUUUUUGUCUUGACUUUUUGCAUUAGAAGCAUAGAUUUUUGUCUUUAAGUCACUGUAAAUGUGACUCCAAAAUUAGCAGCGUACUGAAACCAAAGUUGCAAUGCAAUUGUUUUAUAACAAUAGAAGUGAUUUAUUUAUUUUUUAUUUUUUAAAAGCCUUAGUCAAUAACAUGAUAAUUUGUCUGCAUUUUAGUGCUGAUGAGUUGGUUGGAGAAAAGCGUUUCAUGUCAAGUUGAAACACCUUUGCCCUGGUUUGAGGAUGAUGAGCUCCCAGUGCGUGUCGUGUAGUCCUUCAGGAAAGCCAGCCAGCAGAUUGAUAUUUGUGGGACUUAGAAAUUAGAAGGAAAAAAAAAUCUGCUCUUACUUAAGAAGGAGGAGAUAAGUGUUCACUUCGUGGAUCAGAUUCUGUCUGAUUUAAAGCACUUUGAGAGAAAGGGUGGGGGAAGAGAGUCAGACCAUUAUAGUAGGGGGUUUUCGACAAGCAGAACUUGAAUUGUGACUUCGUUAGAUCGGUGCCUGCCAGGAAAACGUUCACCAGAUCAGGAGUUUUUACAUCCUUAUUUACCUGAUACAGUAUAGCAAAUAUAGCUGUAUUUAUAGCAGCUGGUUUACUGUACAAUUCGCUUUACUACCUUGAUUGUAUAAAACAAUGUUUUUAAUUUCAAACAAAAAAUUGGAUGCAACACUAUGGAAAAGGUGUUUAUUUGUAACACCGCUAUAAAUUUCACUAAAACUAUUAGUCAGAUAUACUGUUCUCUGUGUUGCUUAGAAUUGAUGUGAUAUGAAAUGCACAUGCUGCAUUUUAGAGAUACCCUGCAAAGAAAAGUUCUUCAGCUUGUUGGGUUUUCAGUCUUGUUUGAUUAACUAAGGGAGGAAAGAUGUCAGAGGUGUGGAAUGUCCGUACCACCAGUUUGCCCUGUUGAAGAUGUUUACAGUUUGUAUAAAGCAAAAUAAUGUUUUAAUAUAGUGAGUGAAAGAUCCUUGCUCGUGCCGUAUGGGACUUGCCAAAAAUGUAAUAAAUCGGUUUAUUUGUGGCGAA